Molecule: transfer RNA, 72 nt
Filed under: Ailuropoda melanoleuca (giant panda)
Lineage: Eukaryota; Metazoa; Chordata; Mammalia; Carnivora; Ursidae
Rfam family: tRNA
About the family: Transfer RNA (tRNA) molecules are approximately 80 nucleotides in length.
Source: Rfam by way of RNAcentral
ACCCAACUGGCUCAGUCGGUAGAGCGUGGGGCUCCUGAACUCAGGUCAUGAGUUCAAGCCCCAUGUUGGGUG